This 253-nucleotide ribosomal RNA is filed under the name uncultured bacterium. RNAcentral describes it as "partial 16S ribosomal RNA". It matches the Rfam family "Bacterial small subunit ribosomal RNA", at positions 524 to 776 of the family's 1533-position model. The record is from RNAcentral.
UACAGAGGUCCCGAGCGUUGUUCGGAUUCAUUGGGCGUAAAGGGUGCGUAGGCGGCGGGGAAAGUCUGAUGUGAAAUCCUGGGGCUCAACCCUGGAACUGCAUUGGAUACUUCCUUGCUAGAGUACUGGAGAGGAAACUGGAAUUUACGGUGUAGCAGUGAAAUGCGUAGAGAUCGUAAGGAAGACCAGUGGCGAAGGCGAGUUUCUGGACAGUUACUGACGCUGAGGAGCGAAAGCAUGGGGAGCGAACAGG